GCGAGAGUGGCGGAAUAGGCAGACGCGCACGUUUGAGGGGCGUGUGAGUAAAAUCGUACGGGUUCAAGUCCCGUCUUUCGCACCA
This 85-nucleotide transfer RNA is filed under the name Clostridium sp. Its description in RNAcentral is "tRNA-Leu". It matches the Rfam family "tRNA". Rfam says of the family: Transfer RNA (tRNA) molecules are approximately 80 nucleotides in length. Their secondary structure includes four short double-helical elements and three loops (D, anti-codon, and T loops). RNAcentral also lists the same sequence under 5 other names. Lineage: Bacteria; Bacillati; Bacillota; Clostridia; Eubacteriales; Clostridiaceae. The record is from RNAcentral.